This is a long non-coding RNA of Oncorhynchus tshawytscha (Chinook salmon), 473 nucleotides long. The record is from Ensembl. NCBI's taxonomy places the organism in Eukaryota, Metazoa, Chordata, Actinopteri, Salmoniformes, Salmonidae.
GUCAACGGGAUAAAGGGUAGCAACAAUAAUUUAAGGGUAAAAAUAAUCCUACAAUGGCAAAGAGGACAUGUGCAGGUUUGUUGACACUGUCCCUCAUCUUCUGGCAGGCAGCAAUGUAGUGCUCUGCCAACCCACAGCUCUCUGUGUCCUCCCCCAACAGGACAGGUAGCCUAUCCUCAUCAGAGAGGUCUUCAAUGUAGUGCACUGCCAACCCACAGCUCUCUGUGUCCUCAUCAGAGAGGUCUUCAAUGUAGUGCUCUGCCAACCCACAGCUCUCUGUGUCCUCCCCCAACAGGACAGGUAGCCUAUCCUCAUCAGAGAGGUCUUCAAUGUAGUGCUCUGCCAACCCACAGCUCUCUGUGUCCUCCCCCAACAGGACAGGUAGCCUAUCCUCAUCAGAGAGGUCUUCAAUGUAGUGCUCUGCCAACCCACAGCUCUCUGUGUCCUCCCCCAACAGGACAGGUAGCCUAUCC